RNAcentral lists this ribosomal RNA (490 nucleotides) under uncultured bacterium. RNAcentral's name for it is "partial 16S ribosomal RNA". It matches the Rfam family "Bacterial small subunit ribosomal RNA", at positions 28 to 507 of the family's 1533-position model. The record is from RNAcentral.
GAUGAACGCUAGCUACAGGCUUAACACAUGCAAGUCGAGGGGCAGCAUGGUCUUAGCUUGCUAAGGCCGAUGGCGACCGGCGCACGGGUGAGUAACACGUAACCAACCUGCAGUCUACUCUUGGACAGCCUUAUGAAAGGAAGAUUAAUACAAGAUGGCAUCAUGAUUCUGCAUGUUCACAUGAUUAAAUGUAUUCCGGUAGACGACGGUGAUGCGUUCCAUUAGAUAGUAGGCGGUGUGACGGGCCACCUAGUCUACGAUGGGAAGGGGUUCUGAGAGGGAGCUCCACCAGAUCGGAACUGAGACACGGUCCAAACUGCUACGGGAGGCAGCAGUGAGGAAUAGUGGGCAAGGGACGCAGGCCUGAACCAGCCAAGUGGCGUAAAGAAAGACUGCCCUAGGAGUGGUAAACUUCUAUUAGAAAGGAAUAAAGUCGGGUAUGUAUACCCGUUUGCAGGUACUUUAUGAAUAAGGAACGGCUAACUCCGUG